This 317-nucleotide ribosomal RNA is filed under the name uncultured eukaryote. RNAcentral's name for it is "partial 18S ribosomal RNA". It matches the Rfam family "Eukaryotic small subunit ribosomal RNA", at positions 1470 to 1796 of the family's 1831-position model. The record is from RNAcentral.
CCCUUAGAUGUUCUGGGCCGCACGCGCGCUACACUGAUCAGUGCAACAAGCAUCCGUCCUUGGCCGACAGGCCCGGGCAAUCUUUGAACGCUGAUCGUGAUGGGGAUAGACUUUUGCAAUUUUUGGUCUUCAACGAGGAAUUCCUAGUAAACGCAAGUCACCAACUUGCAUUGAUUACGUCCCUGCCCUUUGUACACACCGCCCGUCGCACCUACCGAUUGAAUGGUCCGGUGAAGCCUCCGGAUUGGCGUGCACCCUCGGGUGCUGCCGAGAAGUUGGCUAAACCUUACCAUUUAGAGGAAGGUGAAGUCGUAACA